CCUACGGGAGGCAGCAGUGGGGGAUAUUGCACAAUGGGGGAAACCCUGAUGCAGCGAUGCCGCGUGAGUGAAGACGGCUUUCGGGUUGUAAAGCUCUGUCGCAGAGGACGAAAAUGACGGUACUCUGUAAGAAAGCCCCGGCUAACUACGUGCCAGCAGCCGCGGGAAUACGUAGGGAGCAAGCGUUGUCCGGAAUUACGGGGUGUAAAGGGAGCGUUGGGGGGAGGAUAAGUUGAAUGUGAAAUCUAGGGGCUCAACCUAUAGCUGCGUUCAAAACUGUUCUUCUUGAGUGAAGUAGAGGCAGGCGGAAUUCCUAGUGUAGCGGUGAAAUGCGUAGAUAUUAGGAGGAACACCAGUGGCGAAGGCGGCCUGCUGGGCUUUUACUGACGCUGAGGCUCGAAAGCGUGGGUAGCAAACAGGAUUAGAUACCCUGGUAGUC
RNAcentral lists this ribosomal RNA (439 nucleotides) under uncultured bacterium. Its description in RNAcentral is "partial 16S ribosomal RNA". It matches the Rfam family "Bacterial small subunit ribosomal RNA", at positions 338 to 795 of the family's 1533-position model. The record is from RNAcentral.